UACGUAGGGGGCUAGCGUUGUUCGGAAUCACUGGGCGCAAAGGGAGUGUAGGCGGAGGUGUAAGUCAGGAGUGUAAUCUACGGGCUUAACCCGUAGUUUGCUUUUGAGACUGCACUUCUUGAGUAGUGGAGAGGGAGACGGAAUUCCAGGUGUAGCGGUGGAAUGCGUAGAUAUCUGGAAGAACACCAGUAGCGAAGGCGGUCUCCUGGCCACAUACUGACGCUGAGGCUCGAAAGCGUGGGGAG
This 245-nucleotide ribosomal RNA is filed under the name uncultured bacterium. Its description in RNAcentral is "partial 16S ribosomal RNA". It matches the Rfam family "Bacterial small subunit ribosomal RNA", at positions 524 to 768 of the family's 1533-position model. The record is from RNAcentral.